UACGAAGGGUGCAAGCGUUACUCGGAAUUACUGGGCGUAAAGCGUGCGUAGGCGGUUGGCUAAGUCAGAUGUGAAAGCCCUGGGCUCAACCUGGGAAUGGCAUUUGAAACUGGCCGGCUAGAGUGUGAUAGAGGAUGGCGGAAUUCCCGGUGUAGCGGUGAAAUGUGUAGAGAUCGGGAGGAACACCGGUGGCGAAGGCGGGACUCUGGGCCUACCCUGACGCUGAGGCGCGAAGGCGUGGGGAGCAAACGGG
This 253-nucleotide ribosomal RNA is filed under the name uncultured bacterium. RNAcentral describes it as "partial 16S ribosomal RNA". It matches the Rfam family "Bacterial small subunit ribosomal RNA", at positions 524 to 776 of the family's 1533-position model. The record is from RNAcentral.